Molecule: long non-coding RNA, 1057 nt
Organism: Carya illinoinensis
Lineage: Eukaryota; Viridiplantae; Streptophyta; Magnoliopsida; Fagales; Juglandaceae
Exons: 3
Source: RefSeq, a predicted model, not a curated record
CAUCACCAAUGCUCACUUGAUCCGAUCCAGUGUAAGGAGUAGAGUUGAGGUUCAAAUUUGCAAAGUCAGUAGGGUUGUUCAUCCGGACCGGUUUUUAUCCGGUCCGGACCGGAAACCGGAUAACCGGAUUUCCGAUUGCGGUUUUUGGCCCGGAUGAAAUCCGGGUCGGGCCCCGCAUUUGUAAAAUCAGAUACAUUCGGUCCGGACACGGGUAUGAAACCCGGGUUCCGUUUUAUAACCCGGUUAACCGGGUUGGUAUAAAAACUUCAAAAAAGGGUCUCUCUCCUCGUAACCCGUCUCCCAACUUCCCAAGUCAUCUCUCUCUCUCUCUCAAACGCACGAAACCCUAGCCGCCCCCCUUAAUCUCCUUCGUUCUUCACUCCCCACAGUGACCACGAUCUCCUGUAGAAAAACCUUCUCUCUCUCUCUCUCUCUCUCUCUCUCUCUCUCUCUCUCUCUCUCUCUCUCUCUCUCUCUCUCUCUCUCUCUCUCUCUCUCUCUCUCGGUGAACCCUAGCUUUGUUAUGUGCAUAUUUUCAACCCUAACAAGCUUGCUCUACUCGAGUGCCGAAAACCUAGGAUUUUGGCCGCCGUCUCUUUUUCACUGCCGUGUCUCUCUCGAUCGCCGGUGACCUUUCGUGAAUGUACGCCAUGCCCACUUUCCUUGUCGAUUGAGUUGGAUGAGAACAACCAAGUGUGGAUCUCUUUCGGUCCAAUCACUUGAAGUUGCUAUUUGGUGUGAAGAUUAAAUAAUUGAUGGAAAUGCAUCUGAUUUUGUAAUUUAUAUAUUGUAAUUUUGUAAUUUAUAUAUUGUAAUUUUGUAUUUUGUAAUGUAUAUAUAGCAAAUAAUGGAAUAUAUAGUGGAUUGCAUUAUGAUGCAUGCAUAGAUGAAUAUUGGGUUUUUUUUUUUUUUUUAGAUGCAUCUAGUAUUUUUAGAACACAAAUAUUAUGCUUUGACUAUGUUUUUAUGAGUAUUUUUUUUCUCUCUGAAUUUGGUCAUCUUUGACUAUGUUUUGCAUCAAACAAAUGAAACAUGCAUAGCUACAUGUUUAUUCUUU